Molecule: unclassified non-coding RNA, 214 nt
Filed under: Hevea brasiliensis (rubber tree)
Lineage: Eukaryota; Viridiplantae; Streptophyta; Magnoliopsida; Malpighiales; Euphorbiaceae
Source: RNAcentral
AGGAAAUGAGGAUUAGAAUUAUCAAAGCUAAGGAACUGUUUCCAACUUUUCAUUAAACAGUCGCUGAAACUGAAACUGAUUGAUUUGCUGGAACAUCCAUUAUUUGUUCUUUAGUUGAAAGGCCGGCCCCUCAAUCCUAUUCUGACGGGUGUAGCAGUACCUUUGUCUUCUAAGGCGAAGUUCACAGUAAUGGAGGAGUUAAACAAGGGCUAAG